GGCGUAAAGCGUCUGUAGGUGGUUUAAUAAGUCGACUGUUAAAUCUUGAGGCUCAACUUCAAAAUCGCAUUCGAAACUAUUAGACUUGAGUAUAGUAGAGGUAAAGGGAAUUUCUAGUGGAGCGGUGAAAUGCGUAGAUAUUAGAAAGAACACCAAUUGCGAAGGCACUUUACUUGGCUAUUACUGACACUCAGAGACGAAAGCUAGGGUAGCAAAUGGGAUUAGAUACCCCAGUAGUCCUAGCCGUAAACAAUGGAUACUAGAUGUUGAACAGAUCGACCUGUGCAGUAUCAAAGCUAACGCGUUAAGUAUCCCGCCUGGGAAGUAUGCUCGCAAGGGUGAAACUCAAAGGAAUUGACGGGGGCCCGCACAAGCGGUGGAGCAUGUGGUUUAAUUCGAUGCAACGCGAAGAACCUUACCAGGGUUUGACAUGGUGCGAAUUUCUUUGAAAGAAGAAAGUGCCAUUCGGAACGCACACACAGGUGGUGCAUGGCUGUCGUC
RNAcentral lists this ribosomal RNA (501 nucleotides) under Parmales sp. RCC1657. RNAcentral's name for it is "bacterial SSU rRNA". It matches the Rfam family "Bacterial small subunit ribosomal RNA", at positions 557 to 1056 of the family's 1533-position model. Lineage: Eukaryota; Bolidophyceae; Parmales. The record is from RNAcentral.